RNAcentral lists this unclassified non-coding RNA (149 nucleotides) under uncultured Devriesia. Its description in RNAcentral is "sequence contains ITS1". The record is from RNAcentral. Lineage: Eukaryota; Fungi; Ascomycota; Dothideomycetes; Mycosphaerellales; Teratosphaeriaceae.
AAAGAGAUGGUGGGCCCCCGCGCCCCCGUCCCCAACCCUUUGUUGACCAAAACAUUUUUGCCUCGGGGGCAGAGUGGCCUUCGCGCCGCCGCCCCCAGAGGACCACUUAACCCUGUCUCUGUACGUCGGAGUCUUUGAUAAAUCAAUCA